This 242-nucleotide ribosomal RNA is filed under the name Citrobacter sp. CK189. RNAcentral describes it as "partial 23S ribosomal RNA". It matches the Rfam family "Bacterial large subunit ribosomal RNA", at positions 1271 to 1517 of the family's 2925-position model. The record is from RNAcentral. RNAcentral also lists the same sequence under 3 other names. Lineage: Bacteria; Pseudomonadati; Pseudomonadota; Gammaproteobacteria; Enterobacterales; Enterobacteriaceae.
UGCUGGAGGUAUCAGAAGUGCGAAUGCUGACAUAAGUAACGAUAAAGCGGGUGAAAAGCCCGCUCGCCGGAAGACCAAGGGUUCCUGUCCAACGUUAAUCGGGGCAGGGUGAGUCGACCCCUAAGGCGAGGCCGAAAGGCGUAGUCGAUGGGAAACAGGUUAAUAUUCCUGUACUUGGUGUUACUGCGAAGGGGGGACGGAGAAGGCUAUGUCGGCCGGGCGACGGUUGUCCCGGUUUAAGC